CCCAGACUUUCAUUUAUUUAGUUACUUAAAACAAUAUUAUAUAAGUAAAAGAAUUGAAACUAGCCCAUAAGUAAGUACUGAAAAGGAAAAUUUCAUUAAUUCCAAAGAAUUUAGUUUUGUACCUUUUGUAUCAGGGUUUAUUUAAUUUUGACCGACAUCGUCCAAUCCCGAAAUAGGGUGAUUUACUUUAAUUAAAAAUGACUGUUUCAUAAGUCUGUUAAAAAUUAGAGUCGUUGUAAAAAAUAUUUCGUACCUUUAUAUCUGGUUGGUAGAAUACUCCUUUAGGGUACUCCGCAGGGAAAAUUUUCUAGGGGACGAGCUCUAGGAAAAGUUGUAUUAAAACCUCAUCAAUGAAACAAAUAGGCUUAAAAGUUGCCGGGGUGUAAUAACUAUUUUCAUUAAAGUAGCAAUUUGAAAUUAAUCAACAUAAACUAGCCGGCGUUUAUUAUUAAAAUUUAGCAGUCAUAAUGAUAAAAUUAGUAGAAUUAAAAAAAGAUAGUAGAAUCUAUUCUAGAAAGACUGGAAGGAAUUCGGCAAAACUUGCCUCCGCCUGUUUAACAAAAA
RNAcentral lists this ribosomal RNA (564 nucleotides) under Artemia sinica. Its description in RNAcentral is "partial 16S ribosomal RNA". Lineage: Eukaryota; Metazoa; Arthropoda; Branchiopoda; Anostraca; Artemiidae. The record is from RNAcentral.